RNAcentral lists this non-coding RNA (253 nucleotides) under Parvibaculum lavamentivorans. Its description in RNAcentral is "partial 16S ribosomal RNA". It matches the Rfam family "Bacterial small subunit ribosomal RNA", at positions 524 to 776 of the family's 1533-position model. Lineage: Bacteria; Pseudomonadati; Pseudomonadota; Alphaproteobacteria; Hyphomicrobiales; Parvibaculaceae. The record is from RNAcentral. RNAcentral also lists the same sequence under 4 other names.
UACGGAGGGGGCUAGCGUUGUUCGGAAUUACUGGGCGUAAAGCGCACGUAGGCGGCUAUCCAAGUUGGGGGUGAAAUCCCUGGGCUUAACCCAGGAACUGCCUUCAAAACUGGAUGGCUAGAGUCCGAGAGAGGUGAGUGGAAUUUCCAGUGUAGAGGUGAAAUUCGUAGAUAUUGGAAAGAACACCAGUGGCGAAGGCGGCUCACUGGCUCGGUACUGACGCUGAGGUGCGACAGCGUGGGGAGCAAACAGG